This is a long non-coding RNA of Mauremys mutica (yellowpond turtle), 669 nucleotides long. RefSeq lists it as uncharacterized. NCBI's taxonomy places the organism in Eukaryota, Metazoa, Chordata, Testudines, Geoemydidae. The transcript is spliced from 4 exons. The record is from RefSeq and is a predicted model, not a curated record.
CAGGGAAGGAACCAGAUGUUCUUUCCAGGGACCCAAACUGCCAGUGGAGCCUAUGACUGGCUGUGGCAGGCAACAACCUUCCCUAGUUGCUUGGAGGGAAGGCAAACCAGUGUCCCGGCAGACUGAGACACCCAACGAAGAGGUGGAGAGCGAGACACCCAACAAAGAGACCGGGAACCAGGCCACAGAUCAGCCCCACCAGAUGCCAGUAGGAGAAUCCAAGCUGAUGGUAUAAGCCCUAUUGCAUAGAGCCUCUUCAUGAGUGUUAUGGGGCAAUUAACAAAGCCUUUGUGUUCGGAUGUCCCACAGUGGCCCAUUUGGAUUCAGUAGUGCUUCCUGAAGGGCAAGAGCUGAAUCUCUAAUUUGACAAUUUUGGCAUCCCAACAACUUCAGGGAUGGAAAGAAGGAGAUAUUCUGCUUCAAGGCUCCACCACAUUUAUUAAUAUGCAGCCAAGCUCAACUGAGGAUGAUAUUCAGGGAACUAGAGUGGCCCUGAUCACCUGAGAUGAGACACUACCAAUCUGCCUUCUUUGUGUCAUUCAGUUAUUCAACAGCAGCACAAAGAUUCUGUCUGUCAUUGGGGACAAAAAAAAAUCCCAAUCAAAAGAUGAGCAUGGAGUGGACUGAAUGGCUGGGAGAAUUAAUACUGGGAGCUUUGCAACACCCGAC